This 467-nucleotide ribosomal RNA is filed under the name uncultured bacterium. RNAcentral's name for it is "partial 16S ribosomal RNA". It matches the Rfam family "Bacterial small subunit ribosomal RNA", at positions 28 to 507 of the family's 1533-position model. The record is from RNAcentral.
GACGAACGCUGGCGGCGUGCUUAACACAUGCAAGUCGAACGGAAAGGCCCUGCUUUUGUGGGGUGCUCGAGUGGCGAACGGGUGAGUAACACGUGAGUAACCUGCCCUUGACUUUGGGAUAACUUCAGGAAACUGGGGCUAAUACCGGAUAGGAGCUCCUGCUGCAUGGUGGGGGUUGGAAAGUUUCGGCGGUUGGGGAUGGACUCGCGGCUUAUCAGCUUGUUGGUGGGGUAGUGGCUUACCAAGGCUUUGACGGGUAGCCGGCCUGAGAGGGUGACCGGCCACAUGGGGACUGAGAACCGGCCCAGACGCCUACGGGGGGAAGCGGUGGGGAAUAUUGCAAAAUGGGCGGAAGCCUGAGGCAGCAACGCCGGGUGGGGGAGGACGGCCUUCGGGUUGGAACCGCUUUCGCCUGUGACGAAGCGUGAGUGACGGUAAUGGGUAAAGAAGCACCGGCUAACUACGUG